AAAAAACUAAAGAUUCUAUCUCUUUCGUUUUAGACUGUCUCUUUAGAGUACUGGCGGUAGAAAUUUUGGUUCUUAACAUUGUUAAUAUUAUAUUAAAUAUUAAUAAAAAAAUAAUACUAAAAUUUAUAAAAAACAGUAAAUAAAAAUUUUAGUUUUUCAUAAUAAAAUAUAGUUAUAAAAAAUAAUAAAGAAAAACAUAUAUGAAAAUGAAAGUAUAAUAUGGAUCUCAAAAUAACAACAAAAAAUAACAAUGAUUAAAUUAUCAGACAAAAUUUAUGAUAAAUUUAAUAUAAAAUAGAAUAAAUAUUCUAGUUAUUGUGGGGAAGAAAAAAAAUAUUUUAUAAUAAUAAAUGAAAAAAAUCUAUUUUUGUUUCUAAAGUCAUGUAAGUGAGGUUGUAGGCAUAUCACUGAAAAAUAGAGAUAAAUAGAAAAUAGCUUUAAGCACUUUAGAACCAUUAAAUUUAAAAAAAGUAUGAUUGGUAAAAAUACUAAAAAUAUGCUUUAUAGGCUAUUUAAUCCCACAGUCUUGACAUCCCUAACCCCAAACAGACUCUAAAUAAACUAGACAAUCAAUCUUCUACAGAUAUAUAAAUAUGUGGUUUAACACAUGACAUGCAAAUUAUCUAGUUGACUUGAACUAUCGUAUAAAACCAUUUCUACGCAAACUUUCCCGAUCAUCUUGGAUCCCCAUCAAAUAAAAUUUGAUAAAAUUAAUCUUGAGAAACCCUCUCAAAUAAAAUGUUCAUCGUGGUACCAAAUAAUCAUAUCCACAUGGACGAGGAUCACACAAUAAACUAUUAGUUUCAGUUAUGAUAGGUCAGAAAUAUUAAAACAGUAAACAAAUCGAUAAAUCUAAACAGUUGUAAGUUAUUAUGAGCAAAACACUAGAUCCAAAAAUUAUCGGACAAUGAAUUCAAAACCAAAAUCAAUAGGUGACACAUGUUUAAUUAGGUUUGAUUCCAUAACUCGAAUGCAACUAGUAAGUUUUCCAACUCUCGCUGCAAAAGACUAUCAGACGUUUAACUCUAAUCAAAUACCAACUCUCAUUUUGAAUUCAAUGAAUCAAGCAAACGUUAGGUCCAAUUCGAUAUAGUUCAACUAAAUACCUAGACUAACUCUAAUUGUGAAUAAGUAUUUAGUCCAACAUGAUUAGGUUUUGUCAAUCGAUUAUACUCUCGUGUCUCUCAAUUGUCGUAUGAUUCUAGGUUCUAGUUAGCUACUUUAUAUCCGUUAGCUACUUUAGAUCAUGCUAUAAUAAACAAUCCUGGUGUAGAAUAAGAUAAGGUUACCCUAGUAUAUCUAUCAAUAAACAGUUCGUCACAAAUCCUAGAAAAUUCCUAAACUAACAUGUUGGUUACUCAGACAUAAUCAUGGAAGACAACAAAUCAAUGAAUAAACUGCAUAUAUAUAGUAGAUAGAAAUACUUGACAAAAAGUAUCUCAGUUGAGUUCUUCUCUUCUCUCCAAUCUCAAACAUAGCUUAGCCUAAACAACAGCUAGAAAAUAGUAAAUAUAGGUUAAAACACGUUCAGAGACUCAUGUGCAAAUACAUGAAACUUUGAGCCAAAUUGCAAUUAUUAAAACUUUAUUAAAUCAUGAGGCGGUUUCCGAACAGGUUGGGUGUCGCUCGACACCACAUCAGAAUCUCGACAGCUUCCUCUUGCGCGUCAGAUAAACUACUCUUUAGUAAAAUACGUGUAACUUUUUUUCUAAACGAUUGAUUGACAUCAAACCGGCGACAGUGGAAAGCUAACUCAAUUUCCUAUAUUGUGCCAAUUAUGAACUUUAUCCAUUGGUGCGAAGAUCUCCAUCCGCUGCUAAACUUCUGACGCAUCUACGCAGUUCUACAGAGUUGGCUAUCGAGCAACACAUAACCUGGUGUUGACCGACUUCAGGCUAGUGUCGAACGAAACCCUGUCCAGAAGUGCAGUUUCAAGAUAAUAUUUUCAAUUUCAGUUCCCUUGAUGCUCCAAAUAGUUCCAAAACCUCCAAUAUGUUCUAAAACGUACCUUAACCUAUAAAGAUCUAAAAUAAACUCCAAACACAUAAUACAGACUUCAAAACCGGACUUAUACCAUGGUAAAAAUCCAUAAAAACCAAGGUAUAUCAACUUCCACAUACAUAUUCUUUUUUUGCCUUCAAACUAAACAUAGAUUGAACAUGUGAAAGAGGUUUGAAAACGUAGGGACUCACUUACUCUUUAAAACCACCACUGUCACCUCUAAAAUGUUGCAAACACAUCAAUACCAAUCUUAUAAGGUACUUCUAUGUACUCAACCGUAGCUUACCAACUAUGUGUCUAACAACAGUAACGGAGGAAAUAUCAGAGAGAAUGUUUAACAAGACCACACCAACAAUCUAAUGCAAAACACAUGUGAAUGCUCUAAUUUAACCAUGUUGGUACCCUAUCAAUCCCAAGAAAGAAAAAUACAAGAGGCCUUACGAGACAUUUCCAGGAUAACAAAGUAGAUUCUCUCCACCACUAGUCCCGGUUUGUGUAUUUGUCAACAGAAACUUCAUAUUCUCCUAAUUUUCAGUUUGGCAAAACAAAAACGACUUCUUAUUCUUCCUAUAAGAUAUACAUAGCACAAGGAAGGAAGAAAUGUCUCUCCUCCACAUGUCCUUGAUGUGACUUAUGUUGGAAAAGUAAAUGAGAGAAUCAAUUCGGACUCUCAAUUCUGUUGUAUGUGAGGAUGGUGUAGAAUAUGAAGGUCUCGUAUGGAAAAAGCUCAUAUGUGGUGAAAAAGUCGAAAUAGAAUCCAAAAACAAUCUUGCGGCCUUCUUAAAAUCUCUAGUGGACAAACAAUACAAACCCUCACAGACUUUUAACAAGUUCCUCCUUUCCAGCCACCUCCUUCUUCAAACAACCUAGCAAUAAUAGAAAAACGAUGUGUUAGACCAAAAUAUCUUCGGUUUAUGCUAACUUAAUUAUAAAACACAAAUGUCACUAACUUCUUUGCUUUAUCAAUGCUCUUUGAAAUCAGAUUUAAACUGAUGUGUUGUAAGUUUUCACCCAACUACUACUGCAAGUGCACAGUGAACUAUUGUAGUAUUUUGGUUAUCAUCCCACAAAGAAUUAGGUUUUAUUUUUGGAUAGAUUCAGGUUCAUUAAGAUAAACUAAAAAGUAUCUAACAAAACAAUGUAAAAUUAAAGUAACUAAAGCAGUGGUUGCAUCAAUAUUAAGAAUCAAUCAAUUUUUAUCCAAAUCCAGAAUCGUAGAUGUCGUUAGGGUUUCGUACAAAGGAACAAUACCUACAAUAAGAGAACGUCCCCAACAUAAGGAAUCAGGAACAUCAAAUAAAAAUGGGUAAAUCGAAUUUCGCAGAAUUACAGUAACGAAGAUACUUCAAAGCUAGCAGAAUGCGAAAGGUACAUAGAGAGAAAGGGAGGGUUCGCUUCAUUUCUAUUCUGGUGACAGAGGAAACUGGAGUGGGUAGGAGAGUCAUGUUUUCUCCCCGUCGGAUCUCGGCUUCGUCGGGAAUAAAUAUCAACCAUUUGUUAUCUGAAUCCUUGACUGACAGAACCCUAGACUUGGUUUCACAGAGAAACACGAAGGCCUAGAGAUAGAGCAUGAUGAGAGUUCGAUGGAAGCAAACAAUGGAGAAAAAGAUCGAGAGAUAGGAGACCUGAGAAGUAUUCAGAGAAAAAGAUCGAGAGAGACGAGAGGAAGGUGUUUGAGAAAAAAAAAUUGACUAGAGAAAAUUUCUCUUGUGUGUCGGUGAUGAAUGAAACGGAUCUAAAUUUUUGGAAAUAACUUUAGCCAAAAAAAUGAGUUUCGCCAAAAUCAGAAAUUUGGCUAAGUGUUUUGGCUCCAAAAUAAACAUCCGGCUAUAUGAUAUAUUUUUAGGUUCCCGCUUAAUGAAAAUAUUUCAUACCACGAAUUUAAUGCUAUGAUACAAUUAGGAUCCAAUUUUGGCACUUUUAGUAGCAGCUAGUGAAUUAGUGCUACAAUGAACUGCUAACAAUGUCUCUAUUUCUUAUAGUGUUAGUUUAUUUUAGAUGCAUACACAGCUACUGAGAAAGAAAGAUUGUGAAUUAUUAAUUUAAACCAAAAGAAACUGUGAGCGGAGAUAGAUAACAAUGUAUGUGACGCUGUGGAGAGCAGUGAUGCAGAUGCCACAAAAAUUGGGAAGACAAUCAUUCUGCCUUCUUCCUUCAGUGCUGUCCCAAGGUAUAUGGCUGAAAAAUAUCUAGACACAAUGGCUAUAUGUUGUUGGUAUGGAAAACCUCAUCUAUGCAUCACCGUCGCAGCAAAUCCAAAUUGGGUGGAGCUCAGACACCAUCUCGGCGCUUAUGGUGGUGAAUCUACUAAUAGUCGACUUCACCUUGAAUGAAAAAUUUUCAAACUAAAACUCAAUGAAAAGAUGUCGGAUUUUUAAAAAGGAGUGUACUUCCCAAAAGCAGGUGCCAGUAAAAAAACUUCUUACAUUGCGAAAGAUAAAAUAAUAUAUUCAAACUCAAUGUUUACACAACUAACAUUUCUCAUAAUUUAUUUGAACCUUUUCGUUGUCUAUACUAUUGAGUUCCAAAAGCGAGGAUUGCAACAUGCUCGUAUUUUGUAUGAAAGGUGUAAAGAAGAAGCAACAGAAGCAAUGAUGAGUAUAUAUGAGUAUAUAUCUGCAUAGAUCCCAGGCAAAGAAGUGGAUCAAGAGUGGGUUGAACUGGUUGAGCACCAUAUGAUUCAUGGCCCAUGUGGUAAAAUAUGUCCAAAAUCACCUUGCAUGGAAACAUAGGAGUGCAUAAAGAAUUAUCCCAAAGCUUUAUUAAAGGGUAGAAAAAUUGACAAGUCUAGAUUUGUCCUCUACAGAAGAAGGCAUGAUCCUAAAUAUUUUUUUUUAUAAAAGGUGACGUCAAACUGGAUAAUCAAUAUGUUGUCCCUCAUAACCUCAGUCUUCUAAAAAAAACAUGCCCAUAUCAUUGUUGAAUGGUGCUGCAGAACAAGCGCGAUUAAAUAUAUCUUUAAGUAAGGUAGUGGAGCGGGGAGAAAAUCAAGCAGAUAUGAUUAAUGAGAUAGAUAUAUUUCAGGAAUGUUACUAAGUUUCUGCAUAUGAGGCCUCGGGAGGUUAUUUGCCUUUUCCAUUCAGCACAACCAGCCUAAUGUUAUUAAGCUGCCACUACAACUACCAGGACAACACCGGAUGGUCUUUGAGCAAUCUUAUAACAUAGCAGAAGUUGUCUUAAGGGAGAACAUUGAAAAAUUAUGUUAGUAUCAUGGUUUGUGGCAUGUGAUACAUAUUAAGAAGCAAGAGAACUUGUAUAUGUUGAAUUCCUACAAGGUUUGUUUAUCACACAUCCGGAAAAUUAUGGACACUUAGGCAGCAAGGCGUAGCCAUAGGCAGAGUGGUUUAUAUCCAUCCAGCGGCCAUGGAUUUAUACUUCUUAAAGAUCCUAAUGAAUGUUGUUAGAGGACCUAGAAGUUCUCACGAUCUAUACAGAGUUGGUGGUGUACUUAUAUAAGAAGUUUAGAGAUGUGUGUUACGCACACAGUUAACUUGAUCAAGACAAAGAAUGGCAUGAUGCUAUAGAAGAACCAUCUUAGGGGGCAAUUGGUCGACGACUAAGAAGAUUGAUUGUGACCAUCUUGAUAUAUUUUCAAGUUAGUAAUCCACUAACACUAUGGGAUCAUACUUGAAAGUUUUUGGGUGAUGACAUCCUUUAAAUGAAACGAAAGGAGUUCAGAUUCAUAGGUUUGGAAUUACAAGACAAGCAACUGAAACAAUAUAUAUUCAUCAAGCUAGAAAAACUCCUAAAGGAGCAUGACCAAUCUAUUGCGGACAACCCUGAUAUCUCAUUGUAUGAUUAAGAUAUCCUAACAGAGAUAUCUAACAUACCUAUACAUGACGAUCAUCUCAAAGCUCAUGUCAGUUGAUAAAGUUUUUAUUCCAGUUGCAUCAGCUGGGAUUGCAACACUACUGCUCCCAAGAAGUAUAACAACUCACUCUUGAUUUAAACUUCCACUUACACUAAGUGAGGAAUCAAUGUGUGAUAUUUAUAGCGGGUAUAUGGUAGCUGAAAGUCAUAUUUAAUAAUAUAAGAUGAAGCUCCAAUGGAAGACCAUCAAGCAUUGAAACACUUGACCAUUCGCUUAAUGAUUUGUUGUAAUGUGAAAAUUCAGUAGCUGCAGACAUACCUUUUGGUGGCAAGACAAUGCUUUUAGGAGGUGUUUUUAGGAAAAUAUUGCAUGUGCCACAAGGAAGACAACCAUAAAUAGUUCUUGCAUACAUCAACAAAUCUUAUAUUUGAAAAAA
Long non-coding RNA from Brassica rapa (field mustard), 6248 nucleotides. RefSeq lists it as uncharacterized. The record is from RefSeq and is a predicted model, not a curated record. Lineage: Eukaryota; Viridiplantae; Streptophyta; Magnoliopsida; Brassicales; Brassicaceae.